Molecule: long non-coding RNA, 1158 nt
Organism: Vigna radiata var. radiata (mung bean)
Lineage: Eukaryota; Viridiplantae; Streptophyta; Magnoliopsida; Fabales; Fabaceae
Exons: 3
Source: RefSeq, a predicted model, not a curated record
AAAACACUCUUGAAAGUACACACUUUUAUUCCAUAUCACGUUUAAACCCUUUUCAAUUUCUAAAAUUUCAUACUUCCCUUAAACUAAACACGAUCCUUCCCUCCUUCUCUCUUCCUGUGAAACCCUAGUCAUUUCAUUUUCCUCGACCGCACUGAAUCUGUUCUUGUCGUUUUCGGUUACAGUGCAAUGUUAACUCUAUAGAAAAGGGUGUGACCGAACGCUGUUGUGCCUUUCACGCUGCACCGAGGCGGUGCUGCGACGAGUUUUGCCUCUUCGAAGGAAAAGGCAGUCGCCAACGGUCCGCCAUCGCCGUCGUUGGGGUCUCUGACCAAAACCACUGUAGCGGUGGGGUUCGACACGGGUAACACGAAGGACUGUAGGCGGUUCACGAAGUAAGGGUUGCUUGAUAAAGUCUGAUGCAAAGGAAGGACCAUGAAGCGCUCGUCAAGAAGGUCUCGAGGCUUGAAAGAGAGCUUUUCGACUACCAGUACAACACGGGCCUGCCAUUGAUUGAGAAGAAAGAAUGGAAUUCAAAGUUUGACCAGCUAAGGCAAGAACAAGCUGAAACUGAGGAAAUUAUUAAACGAGAACAGUCAGCACAUUUAAUUGCCAUGUUGGAAGUUGAGCAGCGAUAAAAGAAUUUGAGGAAAGCAUUGAGCACAGAGAGGCAACAUGGGACAAAUGGGAAAUUUUGGAAACACAAUUUGGGACAUUUGGAGGACACCAAAUAAAUUCAAGACUCUCCAAUUAGACAUUUUAAAUUUUAAUUGUAUUGUAAUUUUAUUGUUUAGAACUUUUUUGACAAACUCUCGGGAAUUUAGGGAUUAAAGAGCAGCCACACAUACUUUGAUAUAUUAUGGCUGUUGCAAUGUAAUUGUAGAAGGGGCACAUUCCCGUCACUUGUUAAAGGGGAUCUAGGACGUUUUUGAAGAAAGGAGAAAUGGCAUCGGUGUGGUGCUUCUAGUCGCCACUUGUUACUUGGCCCUUUAGGAAUGAUAAACUCGUUGAUUUGUUUUAGUGGUUGCUCAUUUAUUUUUUUUGCUGGAGCUGAUUCAUUGAUUGAGGUGACGCACAUGGCCUGGCGGCAUUAUGUAGGAGGAAGACUACGCUGGUUGCAAUUUGUUAUUGAAUGAAAGCAACACUUUUACAUUUCUUUAA